Molecule: ribosomal RNA, 503 nt
Filed under: uncultured bacterium
Lineage: Bacteria
Description: partial 16S ribosomal RNA
Rfam family: Bacterial small subunit ribosomal RNA
Source: RNAcentral
GAUGAACGCUAGCGAUAGGCCUAACACAUGCAAGUCGAGGGGCAGCAUAGAGUAGCAAUACUUUGAUGGCGACCGGCGCACGGGUGAGUAACACGUAUGCAACCUACCUACAUCAGGGGAAUAACCCGGAGAAAUUCGGACUAAUACCGCAUAAUACAGGGAUGCCGCAUGGCAAUAUUUGUUAAAGAUUUAUCGGAUGUAGAUGGGCAUGCGUUCCAUUAGCUAGUUGGUAAGGUAACGGCUUACCAAGGCAACGAUGGAUAGGGGAACUGAGAGGUUUGUCCCCCACACUGGAACUGAGACACGGACCAGACUCCUACGGGAGGCAGCAGUGAGGAAUAUUGGUCAAUGGACGAGAGUCUGAACCAGCCAAAUCGCGUGAAGGAAGACUGCCCUACGGGUUGUAAACUUCUUUUGUACAGGAAUAAAAGACAUUACGUGUAAUGUAUUGCAUGUACUGUACGAAUAAGCAUCGGCUAACUCCGUGCCAGCAGCCGCGGUAA